AUUGAAGAGGAGGAUCCAAAGUUCUCUAUCAUAGUUUCGUCCCAGAAGGCUCUAUGAAAGAAACCUGAUACCAAAGAAGGUUUUUCGCAUACAAGAUGAAAGUGAGAAAUCUUAUCUAUAAAAACAUUGAUUCUGAUUGAAAGGGUUCAGAUUCAAAAAAAUCAAAAUCAAAAACAAAAAAAGAAAAAAAAAUCAAAGUCAAAAGCAAAAUAGAGAAAUCAAUCAAAG
This 228-nucleotide long non-coding RNA is filed under the name Gossypium raimondii (Peruvian cotton). Its description in RNAcentral is "long non-coding RNA (GRAI_LNC008066)". The record is from RNAcentral. Lineage: Eukaryota; Viridiplantae; Streptophyta; Magnoliopsida; Malvales; Malvaceae.